GACGAACGCUGGCGGCGUGCUUAACACAUGCAAGUCGAACGGUGAAGCGCCUUCCUUUUUGGUGGGUGUGGAUGAGUGGCGAACGGGUGAGUAACACGUGAGUAACCUGCCCCCUUCUUCUGGAUAACCGCAUGAAAGUGUGGCUAAUACGGGAUAUUCUGGGUCUGUCGCAUGAUGGGUCUGGGAAAGAUAUUGUUUCGGUGGGGGAUGGGCUCGCGGCCUAUCAGCUUGUUGGUGGGGUGAUGGCCUACCAAGGCGGUGACGGGUAGCCGGCCUGAGAGGGUGGACGGUCACACUGGGACUGAGACACGGCCCAGACUCCUACGAGAGGCAGCAGUGGGGAAUAUUGAACAAUGGGCGCAAGCCUGAUGCAGCGACGCCGCGUGAGGGAUGGAGGCCUUCGGGUUGUGAACCUCUUUCGCCAGUGAAGCAGGCCUGCCUCGUUUGUGGGUGGGUUGACGGUAGCUGGAGAAGAAGCGCCGGCUAACUACGUG
Molecule: ribosomal RNA, 494 nt
Filed under: uncultured bacterium
Lineage: Bacteria
Description: partial 16S ribosomal RNA
Rfam family: Bacterial small subunit ribosomal RNA
Source: RNAcentral